RNAcentral lists this small RNA (101 nucleotides) under Flavobacterium urumqiense. RNAcentral describes it as "Flavo-1 RNA". It matches the Rfam family "Flavo-1 RNA". Lineage: Bacteria; Pseudomonadati; Bacteroidota; Flavobacteriia; Flavobacteriales; Flavobacteriaceae. The record is from RNAcentral.
AUUUAGCCCUGAUCGAAACGGCAUCCUUUUGUUCUGUCAUUGCGAGGAACGAAGCAAUUUUUUAGACAGUACAAAAGAUACAGUGCAGAGCAGGAAUUAGC